Molecule: RNA transcript, 1132 nt
Organism: Hibiscus syriacus
Lineage: Eukaryota; Viridiplantae; Streptophyta; Magnoliopsida; Malvales; Malvaceae
Gene name: universal stress protein PHOS34-like
Exons: 3
Source: RefSeq, a predicted model, not a curated record
UCGUGUCAGCAUAUCUGAGAGUUGGCCGAUAUUUAUCUGAUUUUCACUUUGCCGAAGCUCAAAGAGGUCAAUCGAUUCUUCAGUUUCACAGAAAAUCUUUUCUUCCGAUGGAUCCGCAACACCACCAGCAAUCGGAACCGGAGCUCCAGGUUUCGUCCUUGGAUCCGCUCCGUAUCCAACCCACUUCUCCUCGUGUCCCUUUGACCACCCCAGUCUCCGGUUCCCAGCGCCGCGUCGCCAUCGCCGUCGACUUAAGCGACGAGAGUGCUUACGCCGUUCGAUGGGCCGUUCAGAACUACCUUCAUCCGGGAGACUCGGUCGUUCUCCUCCACGUCCGUCCGACAUCCGUCCUUUACGGUGCCGACUGGGGCUCCAUCAAACUCCAAAUCAACCCUAACUCCACGAAGAAUCACGAAAGCGCCACGGCCUUCAGGGGCGAGCAACCCGAAGCGGAGUCGCAGCAGAAGCUCGAGAACGAUUUCGACGUCUUCACGACGACGAAGGCGAACACGCUGGCGCAGCCGUUAGUGGAUGCUCAGGUUCCGUUUAAAAUCCACAUAGUGAAAGACCAUGACAUGAAAGAGAGGUUGUGUUUGGAAGUUGAGAGGUUAGGUUUGAGUGCGGUGAUCAUGGGGAGCAGAGGAUUCGGAGCCACCAGGAGACCCAACAAAGGAAGGCUAGGAAGCGUUAGCGACUAUUGCGUCCAACACUGCAUUUGUCCGGUGGUGGUGGUCCGGUACCCAGAGGAGGAAGAGAACGGGGUAGCGAAGAAGAGCAUUGUUGAAGAAGAUGUAGAGCUGCAGCCUGUGCCUGAAGAGGAACCAGAGUACCAUGAUGCAGAAGAAGAGCAUACUGGGUUUUCAAAUUGGUGAUUGAUUUUGAUUUUGUUAAAUGAUGCUUAAUAUGACUCAGAGCAACGACGAAUGCCCUCUUAUUCAGCACCAAAGGAUGAAAACCAAUCCGAAAUUUGAGGACUAUGGUGGCAAAAGAAGUGUGAAAAUGUUGUGCAGUGAUGAUCUUUAUGCUUUGUAUAGAUGGAUAGUAAUAGGGCUCUUGGUUUUCGGUGUACUUCCUGUUAGUUGCUUUGUUUCGACACUUAACUGUUCAAUGCCUAUGUAUAUGGUUUGCUGCA